UGUCAAUCAUACUGGAUUCUUCUAAAUAAGCCGUGAUGAAGUUUGUGUGGAAUCGGCUGUUGCAGCACAGUCGGUUUGUCUCUGACUGCAAGGACAAGGAGCCAGAUGUUCUGUUUGUGGGGGACUCCAUGGUACAACUUCUGCAGCAAUAUGAGGAAAGCACAAGAGAACAAAUGUGAGUUUACAGAAGAACCUCUAUGCCAGGGACAGAACAUCAUCAGCUUACAGAUGGGAAGUAACCAAGGAACAUCACAGGCUGGAAUGGCAAGCUAUGGACUUGCCAGGCAAAUUACCAAAUUACCAGUUAAAAAAAAAUAUCAAUUGAGCACUCUUUGAAAAGCAAGGUUUUAACCAUUUCAAAGUGAAUAUAAGUUCAAAGAGCCCAAUACACUAAAACAUUCAAUGAAAUAAAUGGUGUGAUUUGGACAGGUAGUAUUUAUUACGUGGAAGUCUAAAAAGAUAUCCUUUGUCCUUACGAAGUCUUGCUUCCCUCCACCUGAUAUGAACUAUAACAUUUGCUUUAGUAUAUGAACCUUUCCAUCACACAUUUAGCCUUUAAAAAUUACCACUAACUGCAAGGACUGCUGUCAUAUUGCUAACUUGUUGCUUUCUUAUGUAUGUGGGGUAGAGCAGAUGUAUUACAGAAUGCUGGCAAAGUUUAUUGGUUGUAUGGCUUAACAAAUCUGCUAUAUGUUGUUUCAUUUUAAAUCUCAUCACAGUCCAGUUGGUAAAAAGAUGUCAUUUUUAUCAAUAAAAAAAAAUCUGUGAAGAUACUGAAGUUUGAAGACACUAAAAUUGUCCCUUUUUUCAUAUUGAGUCACUCUUGAAAUAAUUAGCACAUUGAUAACUGAAUAUUUUGUUAAAUGGACAAAGUAAUUUAAACAGAGCACCUAAUUAUCAUCAUAAUAAUGACCUUUUAGCAAUCAUGAAAAUUAUGUUGCUGCUCAAGUUAUUAUGUAUUUCGCGAGUUGCUUCAUAUGUUCCAAAUAUCAUCAGUCAUAUAUUUUUGCUUUUUGUCACAUGCUAAUUUAUAAGGGAUGUUACUUCCUGGUAAACCUGUUUUUUAGUGCAGCAUAUUAAUAUUAACUUGCACAAGUUUGAGCACAAUUUAGUAUUUGGAAUGACAGUAUUUAUGUCCCGAGGCAAUAAAUGGCUGAUGUUGUAGGGUUAUUAAUAGCAGGUUAUAUUGUAGGAAGAAUCAAAAUUUAUAAAGUCAGAUUAUUUUAAGUGUCCCUGCUGAAAAUGAUGUACUUAUUUUUUGCCCAGUGACAACAAUAUGUGUGACCAUAAGAUAUAGGAGCAGAAGAAGGCCAUUUGGCCCAUCAAGUCUGCUCCAUCAUUCAAUCACGUGCUGAUCCAAUUCUUCCAGUCACCCCCACUCCCCCAUCUUCACCCCAUUCCCUUUGAUUAUCUGAAUAAUCACUACUUAUCUAUCUCUGCCUUAAAUGCAUCUGGUGACUUGGCCUGCAUAGAUGCUCGUGGCAUAAAAAUUCCACAAAUUUGCCCCUCUCUGAUUAAAGUAAUUGCUCUGUAUCUCUGUUCUAAAUGGAUGUCCUUCAAUCCUGAAGUCGUCCCCUCUUGUCCUAGAAUCCCCUACAAUGGGAAGUAACUUUUCCAUUUCUAAUCUGUUCAAGACUCUUAACAUUUGGAAUGUUUCUAUGAGAUCCCCCUCAUUCUCCUGAAUCCAAGGAAUACAGCCCAAGAGCGGCCAGAUGUUCCUCAUUUGAUAACUCCAUUCAUUCCUGGAAUCAUUCUUGUGAAUCUUCUUUGAAUCCUCUCCAAUGUCAGUAUAUUCUUUCUAAAAUAAUGAGCACAGAACUGCACAUAAUACUCUGUGUGGUCUCAUGACUGCCUUCUAGAGCCUCAACAUCACAUUCCUGCUCUUAUAUUCUAUAGAUCUAGAAAUGAAUGCCAAUGUUGCAUUCGCCUUCUUCACCACUGACUCAACCAGCAGGUUAACCUUUAGGAUAUCCUGCACAAGGACUCCCAAGUUCCUUUACAUCUCUGCGUUUUGAAUUCUCUCUUCAAACAAUAGUCUGCCUGUUUAUUUCUUCCAUCAAAGUGCAUGACCAUGCACUUCCCAACAUUGUAUUUCAUUUGCCACUUCUUUGCCCAUUCCCCUAAACUAUCUGUCUCUCUGAUUCCUCGACACCACGUGCUCUUUCACCUUUCUUUGUAUCAUCAGCAAAUCCAUUAAUUCCCAUAGUCCAGAUCAUUGACAUAUAUUAUAAAUUUCAGUGGUCCCAACACCGACUCCUGUGGAACUCCACUGGUAACCAGCAGUCUGUA
Hypanus sabinus (Atlantic stingray) is the source of this 2289-nucleotide long non-coding RNA. RefSeq lists it as uncharacterized. NCBI's taxonomy places the organism in Eukaryota, Metazoa, Chordata, Chondrichthyes, Myliobatiformes, Dasyatidae. The record is from RefSeq and is a predicted model, not a curated record. The transcript has 3 exons.